UGACUCUGGAGCAUAGACUGAGUGUAGCCUCCGAUGGUAAAAGUGACAAAUGUCUAGUAGACAAACUUUUUUUUUUGAGUGGGACCAAAGGAAAACAAAUUUGGAUAGUCCAACUUAGCUUUUAAACAAUAUUAGUCAUUGAAACCAAAAUUUGGGUAAAUUUACAGUAUAAUAAAUGGUGAUCUUUAAACAUGUAUCAAGAAGUUAGAUGAGUUCAUUAGACCAUUCUAAUGCUAAUGAAUAUGUUUUAACAAGAACAGUUCUUCUCUGCAGGUGUAUUUUCUUAAUAGUUUGUCACUGAAGAACACAUUGGUUUCUUAAUAUAAAAGUGGGAAAAAGGCAGUGAAUUUCUUGGGAAUUUAAAUGGAGUCUAGAAGUUGCAAUGAUAAAUUUGAGCUCUGUGAUCUUUGUUAAUGUUCUUAAUGUUUUCCUCUCUGUAUUGCUCUAGGUAAGCUAUUGCACCAGUGUAGACAAAACCUCAAUACCUAACUUAAGACCCAUGCAGGGGUCUAGGGCCCCGGGCCAGGUGCUGGGACGAUGGUACUAAAUCUAGUAGAUGGGCUAUACGGUAACUCUCCUAGGUAACACCUGGGGCACUGGGAGGUGCUCUAAACUGAGCCUGGACCGAGGUCUGAACAGGAGACAGGCCACUGAGGCAAACAAGGAGGCAUGGAUGCUCUUGGUCUCUUCAGGGAAUGAUUCCACAGUGAGAUGGCAAAAACCCAGUCAACAGGGUUUAGGCUUUGUUUUUCUGUUCUUUGAGGCUUCUUUCUUUUCUCCUCUUUUUUCUUUUUCUGUUCUAGUGAUUCCUUAAUUUGAAGUUGGGUUUUAAAAACUGCAAGGAGGAGGAAAUUAGAUCUAGAAGGCUUUUAGGUUUUGAACUCAUUUGGCUUUUUUUUUUCUUUUGUACUAAGAUUUUAUUAGAUAAUCAAAACUGGAAUCAUCAAGUGUUAAUACAAGAAUGAAAAGUAUAAUGGGGGGCACCUGGGUGGCUCAGUCAGUUUAGUUCAGGUCUUGAUCUCAGGGUCCUGGGAUCGAGCCCUGUUGAGCCCUGUGUCGUGCUCCCUGCUCAGUGGAGAGCCUGCUUCUCCCUCUCCCUCUGCCCUUCCCCCUGCUCAUUCUCUAAAAUAAAUAAAAUCUUUAAAAAUAAAAAGAAUGAAAAGUAUAAUGGAACAUGCCAAAAUAAUAAACCUACUGCUUUGUUUUCAUAGCCUAUUAUUAUUAAAGUAAAAUACUAUUGAAAUAUUGUAAGUUAAAGGUACAUUUUAUUUUUUUUUUUCUGAAAAAAUGUUAGUAACUUUAGUGAAGAAUAAUUCAGAUGUGGGAGUAGGGGAAGAUUUAUUUUUAUAAAGUAAUUUUUAUCCUGACAAGGACUAUUAUUUUUUAAAGUAUUUUGCACCUAAAAUUUUUUAAGUAAACAUGUUAAAAACAGUUGGAAAAGUUAAAUAAGCAAUAUACUAAAUAGUAGAUUUUUUUGGUAUGUAUUCUGUUUUUCUCUUUGUGAUAUAAAAUAAGGAGAAAUUGAAUUGUGAAAACUAGAAUAAUGAAGGACACUAAAUGCCUUUAUUUGAGAUACCAUGUUUGCAAGCCUACACUGGAAUCUUGUACCUUUUUUAGAUUUGAAUUAUGGCUCUGAAAAAGGCCAAAUAAUUAUAAUCUUAUUACAAAAUACCAAUGACAAAAUUUCUAACUGAAGCCUUUUUAGUUGGCAAAUAGACAAGCAGCUUUAGCCAGAAAGGAUUUUUAACUGCAGCUUUAAUAAACUUUUUUUAAGGAAGUUCUCUCCCCCUCUUCCUCAUCCCCCAAACCUAAAAUAAUAAGAUGCUGGGAAUCAAAAAGCUCUUGCCUUUUCCAUUCAGAUCAGUUGGGAAAUUACUAUUUGAGCUCUGAUGCUGCUGUGAUUUCUCAAAAAUUAGUGGGAACAAACCAAUCUAUAUAAUAUGCUACCUUUUUUGUCUCCUUUGCAGUUUUAUAUACAAGUCAAGACAAUACCAGGGUAACAGGUGAAUUCUCAGUUUUGUCUAUUCCCUAAAAAAGUAAACUGCCCCCUUUUUUUCAAUUAUUCACAGCUAAUAACUUUUAGGAACAUGUUUAUACCACAUACAUCUUUUUUAAUUAAAGCAAGUGCCUUGCUGCCAUUCCAUAUAAAUGAGACUUAACCCUCUAUGGGAUGAGGGUGUGUUGAUGGAUGGCAGCCUGUUGCAGGAGAAGGAGGAGUUGGUUAAUAGCAAAUCUUUUUCUUUCGGAAGGAUAUGUUCAUGUUAUUAUGUAAGAUACUGUAUGUGUUGAGAUCUAGAGGUGUCAUUUCAUUUCUGCUAAUAAAUUGUUAUGCUACUAAAAUAUUACUUUGUGUCUAAAUUAUUUAAGUGCAACUAAGAAACACAUGUAGGUCACCAGUGAGCUUCGGAAUACCAUCUCUUUACAUUUGGAGGGUGAUUCAGUCAUUAAUUUUUCCCAAAUAUAACAAAAGGAUCUGUCCUUAUAGAAAGACAUAAUGCAUUUCUUUCCUUUUUUUGCUUUGUGGUCCUGAGUGAGUACAUUAACCCUUUGGGGACUCAAGUUUUCAUCAAUGAAGAGGGGAGGAGCAAUAGAUUGCCCGAGGACCUUUCUAGUUCUCGUGUUGAAUGACUACUACUCUGUACCAUGUUGGAAUCAGAAAACCCCAAACUGGCUCAUGUUUUACUACUCCUAACUCUGAAUUUUGGCAUUUGGAAGCCACCACAGACACCUGGGCAGGGGAAAUGUCAUGAUGACAAUAGAUCCAACAUUAUGUGCCAAACGGACUUCAGGGGAAGAAAGUGAGUGGGAGUAUUCAGAUGGCCAGCCGAAGAGAGAAGUACUAGAAUCCAGCUAGACCACUGGUUCUCAAACUGUCCAAAAAUGGCGUCAGGAACACCUACACAAGUGGAAAGGAACUGUCUAAGUUUCUGUACACUCGAGAUGGCCUCUGUGAUGGUGAUUUUUGGCUGCUGUGGUAAAGACGCCUCCCCCUCCUCUUCGCUUCCAGC
This is a long non-coding RNA of Ailuropoda melanoleuca (giant panda), 3008 nucleotides long. RefSeq lists it as uncharacterized. The transcript has 4 exons. NCBI's taxonomy places the organism in Eukaryota, Metazoa, Chordata, Mammalia, Carnivora, Ursidae. The record is from RefSeq and is a predicted model, not a curated record.